GAUGAACGCUGGCGGCGUGCCUAAUACAUGCAAGUCGAGCGAACAGACGAGGAGCUUGCUCCUCUGACGUUAGCGGCGGACGGGUGAGUAACACGUGGAUAACCUACCUAUAAGACUGGGAUAACCUCGGGAAACCGGAGCUAAUACCGGAUAAUAUAUUGAACCGCAUGGUUCAAUAGUGAAAGACGGUUUUGCUGUCUCUUAUAGAUGGAUCCGCGCCGCAUUAGCUAGUUGUUAAGGUAACGGCUUACCAAGGCAACGAUGCGUAGCCGACCGGAGAGGGGGAUCGGCCACACUGGAGCUGAGACACGGUCCAGACUCCUGCGGGAGGCAGCAGUAGGGAAUGGUACGCAAUGGGCGAAAGCCUGACGGAGCAACGGCGCGUGAGUGAUGAAGGUCUUCGGAUCGGAAAACUCUGUUAUUAGGGAAGAACAAAUGUGUAAGUAACUAUGCACGUAUUGACGGUACCUAAUCAGAAAGCCACGGCUAACUACGUG
RNAcentral lists this ribosomal RNA (497 nucleotides) under uncultured bacterium. RNAcentral describes it as "partial 16S ribosomal RNA". It matches the Rfam family "Bacterial small subunit ribosomal RNA", at positions 28 to 507 of the family's 1533-position model. The record is from RNAcentral.